This 551-nucleotide ribosomal RNA is filed under the name Pycnoscelus surinamensis (Surinam cockroach). RNAcentral describes it as "eukaryotic LSU rRNA". The record is from RNAcentral. Lineage: Eukaryota; Metazoa; Arthropoda; Insecta; Blattodea; Blaberidae.
CAGUACGUGAACCGUUCAGGGGUAAACGGGAGAGAUCCGAAAGGUCGAAAGGGGGAGACUCAAUCCCGUCCGCGCGUCCGGUACCGUCAUCGGUCCCAAGAAUGCUGCUGGCCUCCGAGGCGCGAGCCGGGUCGGAGUCGGCGGCAACGGGGCCGGAGGUCCGGCCGCGGCGAGGUGCACUUCUCCCCACGAGUAGGACGUCGCGACCCGUUGGGCAACGGCCUAAGGCCCGGGAUGAGACCGAGGGAACCGCCGCGCUUUCGCGCGGAACGACGGUUCCCCGGGCCCUGGAUGUCCCGGCCGGCGCCCGACGGCAAACCUCGCGGAGAAGGCCAGCUCCCUUGCAGAGCGAGCGUCAGGCCCGGUGGGCGAGCUCGACGACUAGGUGGCAAGUGGUGCCGUGGCUUCCGCCACGGUCCCGCCCCCCCUCGGCUGCUCGGCCGCUGAGUCCUGGAAUGGUCGCUGACUCGAUUAAGCGCGACUGCUGCUCCUGAUCUUUUCACCACCCUCCUUGAACUAAGGACCAAGGGAACUAAGAAACUAAGUUUAAC